CUCGUAGGCGGUUCGUCGCGUCCGGUGUGAAAGUCCAUCGCUUAACGGUGGAUCCGCGCCGGGUACGGGCGGGCUUGAGUGCGGUAGGGGAGACUGGAAUUCCCGGUGUAACGGUGGAAUGUGUAGAUAUCGGGAGGAACACCAGUGGCGAAGGCGGCCUGCUGGACAUUAACUGACGCUGAGGAGCGAAAGCGUGGGGAGCAAACA
RNAcentral lists this ribosomal RNA (207 nucleotides) under uncultured bacterium. RNAcentral describes it as "partial 16S ribosomal RNA". It matches the Rfam family "Bacterial small subunit ribosomal RNA", at positions 568 to 774 of the family's 1533-position model. The record is from RNAcentral.